Molecule: ribosomal RNA, 441 nt
Filed under: uncultured bacterium
Lineage: Bacteria
Description: bacterial SSU rRNA
Rfam family: Bacterial small subunit ribosomal RNA
Source: RNAcentral
GUACGGGAGGCAGCAGUGGGGAAUUUUGCGCAAUGGGCGAAAGCCUGACGCAGCGACGCCGCGUGGAGGAUGAAGGUCUUCGGAUUGUAAACUCCUUUUAUAGGGGAAAAUAAUGAUGGUACCCUAUGAAUAAGCCACGGCUAACUCUGUGCCAGCAGCCGCGGUAAGACAGAGGUGGCAAGCGUUGUUCGGAAUUACUGGGCUUAAAGGGCGCGUAGGUGGUGAUAUAAGUCCGGGGUGGAAGACUGGGGCUUAACCUCAGAAUUGCCUUGGAUACUGUAUGACUUGAGUCAGCGAGGGGAUGGCGGAAUUCCAGGUGUAGCGGUGAAAUGCGUAGAUAUCUGGAGGAAGGCCGGUGGCGAAGGCGGCCAUCUGGCGCUGAACUGACACUGAGGCGCGAAAGCGUGGGGAGCAAACAGGAUUAGAUACCCGUGUAGUCCG